RNAcentral lists this ribosomal RNA (1371 nucleotides) under uncultured bacterium. RNAcentral's name for it is "bacterial SSU rRNA". It matches the Rfam family "Bacterial small subunit ribosomal RNA", at positions 28 to 1381 of the family's 1533-position model. The record is from RNAcentral.
GAUGAACGCUGGCGGCGUGCCUAAUACAUGCAAGUCGAGCGAACGGACGAGAAGCUUGCUUCUCUGAUGUUAGCGGCGGACGGGUGAGUAACACGUGGAUAACCUACCUAUAAGACUGGGAUAACUUCGGGAAACCGGAGCUAAUACCGGAUAAUAUUUUGAACCGCAUGGUUCAAAAGUGAAAGACGGUCUUGCUGUCACUUAUAGAUGGAUCCGCGCUGCAUUAGCUAGUUGGUAAGGUAACGGCUUACCAAGGCAACGAUGCAUAGCCGACCUGAGAGGGUGAUCGGCCACACUGGAACUGAGACACGGUCCAGACUCCUACGGGAGGCAGCAGUAGGGAAUCUUCCGCAAUGGGCGAAAGCCUGACGGAGCAACGCCGCGUGAGUGAUGAAGGUCUUCGGAUCGUAAAACUCUGUUAUUAGGGAAGAACAUAUGUGUAAGUAACUGUGCACAUCUUGACGGUACCUAAUCAGAAAGCCACGGCUAACUACGUGCCAGCAGCCGCGGUAAUACGUAGGUGGCAAGCGUUAUCCGGAAUUAUUGGGCGUAAAGCGCGCGUAGGCGGUUUUUUAAGUCUGAUGUGAAAGCCCACGGCUCAACCGUGGAGGGUCAUUGGAAACUGGAAAACUUGAGUGCAGAAGAGGAAAGUGGAAUUCCAUGUGUAGCGGUGAAAUGCGCAGAGAUAUGGAGGAACACCAGUGGCGAAGGCGACUUUCUGGUCUGUAACUGACGCUGAUGUGCGAAAGCGUGGGGAUCAAACAGGAUUAGAUACCCUGGUAGUCCACGCCGUAAACGAUGAGUGCUAAGUGUUAGGGGGUUUCCGCCCCUUAGUGCUGCAGCUAACGCAUUAAGCACUCCGCCUGGGGAGUACGACCGCAAGGUUGAAACUCAAAGGAACUGACGGGGGCCCGCACAAGCGGCGGAGCAUGUGGAUUAAUUCGAUGCAACGCGAAGAACCUUACCUGGGCUUGACAUAUACAGGAUCGCGCCAGAGAUGGUGUUUCCCUUGUGGCUUGUAUACAGGUGGUGCAUGGUUGUCGUCAGCUCGUGUCGUGAGAUGUUGGGUUAAGUCCCGCAACGAGCGCAACCCUUGUCUUAUGUUGCCAGCACGUUGUGGUGGGGACUCGUAAGAAACUGCCGGGGUUAACUCGGAGGAAGGUGGGGAUGACGUCAAAUCAUCAUGCCCCUUAUGUCCAGGGCUUCACACAUGCUACAAUGGUCGGUACAGUGGGUUGCCAGUCCGUGAGGGCGAGCUAAUCCCGCAAAGCCGGUCUCAGUUCGGAUCGGGGUCUGCAACUCGACCCCGUGAAGUCGGAGUCGCUAGUAAUCGCAGAUCAGCAACGCUGCGGUGAAUACGUUCCCGGGCCU